Molecule: transfer RNA, 68 nt
Filed under: Marmota monax (woodchuck)
Lineage: Eukaryota; Metazoa; Chordata; Mammalia; Rodentia; Sciuridae
Description: tRNA.Ala
Rfam family: tRNA (bases 4-62)
About the family: Transfer RNA (tRNA) molecules are approximately 80 nucleotides in length.
Source: RNAcentral
GUAGUGGCUCAGUGGUAGAGCACUUGCCUGGCAUGUGUGAGGCCCUGGGUUCGAUCCUCAGCACCACA